CUCACGGCACCGCAUGGUGCAGGGAGGAAAGCCGAGACGGUGAAGGAUGGCUCCGCGUCGGAUUAGCCAGUUGGCGGGGUAACGGCCCACCAAAGCGAUGAUCCGUAGCCGGCCUGAGAGGGCGACCGGCCACAUUGGGACUGAGACACGGCCCAAACUCCUACGGGAGGCAGCAGUGGGGGAUAUUGCACAAUGGGGGAAACCCUGAUGCAGCGACGCCGCGUGAAGGAAGAAGUGCUUCGGCAUGUAAACUUCUAUCAGCAGGGAAGAAGAUGACGGUACCUGCACAAGAAGCCCCGGCUAACUACGUGCCAGCAGCCGCGGUAAUACGUAGGGGGCAAGCGUUAUCCGGAUUUACUGGGUGUAAAGGGAGCGUAGACGGCAAUGCAAGUCUGAUGUGAAAACCCGGGGCUCAACCGCGGGAUUGCAUUGGAAACUGUAUAGCUCGAGUACUGGAGGGGCAGGCGGAAUUCCUGGUGUAGCGGUGAAAUGCGUAGAUAUCAGGAGGAACACCGGUGGCGAAGGCGGCCUGCUGGACAGAGACUGACGUUGAGGCUCGAAAGCGUGGGGAGCAAACAGG
RNAcentral lists this ribosomal RNA (580 nucleotides) under uncultured rumen bacterium. RNAcentral's name for it is "bacterial SSU rRNA". It matches the Rfam family "Bacterial small subunit ribosomal RNA", at positions 173 to 776 of the family's 1533-position model. The record is from RNAcentral.